Molecule: ribosomal RNA, 271 nt
Filed under: uncultured archaeon
Lineage: Archaea
Description: partial 16S ribosomal RNA
Rfam family: Archaeal small subunit ribosomal RNA
Source: RNAcentral
CAGCGCCACGAGUGGUAAUCACGUUUAUUGGGCCUAAAGCGUCCGUAGCCUGUUUGUUAAGUCUUUUGUGAAAUCGUUGGGCUCAACUUAACGCUGUGCAAGAGAGACUGGCAAACUUGGAACCGGGAAGGGUCAGAGGUAUUCUAGGGGGAGCGGUAAAAUGCUAUAAUCCUUAGAGGACCACCUGUGGCGAAGGCGUCUGACUAGAACGGAUCCGACGGUGAGGGACGAAAGCUGGGGGAGCAAACCGGAUUAGAUACCCGAGUAGUCC